This is a long non-coding RNA of Suricata suricatta (meerkat), 570 nucleotides long. RefSeq lists it as uncharacterized. The record is from RefSeq and is a predicted model, not a curated record. NCBI's taxonomy places the organism in Eukaryota, Metazoa, Chordata, Mammalia, Carnivora, Herpestidae. The transcript has 2 exons.
CAUUUCCAAGGGUUCAGAUCAUAUCUCUGUGGCCCUGAGUGCAUUUCACCCUCACUGAAGUUUCUCCCAAUAAAUCUCUCGCAUGUCGAAUCCCAUCCUGUAAUCCACUCCUUAAAGACCUGAAUUAACCCAAGAGAUGGUAGGGCUAUUUAUUUGUCCUCAACAAAGGUACAGGUCAACUUUGAACGGUGCGGGAACUGGAAACCCAAGAAAAUGUGUAAGAAGACAACCUCAAGCACUUACCUCGGCAGGUGUCAGCCAUUUUUAAGCACGUCUGGAUGUGGUCAGUUACACAGCUGGUUAGUGCAGAGUAAGAAGCCUCUACACCCGGACCCCACGCGGAUCAGAGAACUUCCCGCAGAUGCACAGGGUGCCUGCCCCAGAAGGCAGGGCAGUCCAGGUGGAGGCAGGGGAUCCACUGCAUUCCCUUCAUAGGAGGCCCCUUGAGAAGACUGGAGAAAAGUUGAGAGCUCGCUGGGCCAGGCCCAGCCACCCCUCUGGCUCUCGGGGCUUUGUCUCCACUUUGCGAUUUCAGUAAAAGGGCACACGCUUCACCCAAUUUAUUCUCAA